Molecule: small RNA, 51 nt
Filed under: bovine gut metagenome
Description: Streptococcus sRNA SpF59 (ldcC RNA)
Rfam family: Streptococcus sRNA SpF59 (ldcC RNA)
Source: RNAcentral
GACCACUUCUGCGGAAGUUAAGGCCAUACGGACAGCCGGGUCCACUGCCGA